AUUGAACGCUGGCGGCAUGCCUUACACAUGCAAGUCGAACGGUAACAGGUCUUCGGAUGCUGACGAGUGGCGCACGGGUGAGUAAUACAUCGGAACGUGCCCGAUCGUGGGGGAUAACGAGGCGAAAGCUUUGCUAAUACCGCAUACGAUCUACGGAUGAAAGCGGGGGAGCUUCGGACCUCGCGCGGACGGAGCGGCCGAUGGCAGAUUAGGUAGUUGGUGGGAUAAAAGCUUACCAAGCCGACGAUCUGUAGCUGGUCUGAGAGGAUGAUCAGCCACACUGGGACUGAGACACGGCCCAGACUCCUACGGGAGGCAGCAGUGGGGAAUUUUGGACAAUGGGCGAAAGCCUGAUCCAGCCAUGCCGCGUGCAGGAUGAAGGCCUUCGGGUUGUAAACUGCUUUUGUACGGAACGAAAAGCCUCUUGCUAAUAAAGAGGGGUCAUGACGGUACCGUAAGAAUAAGCACCGGCUAACUACGUG
This 482-nucleotide ribosomal RNA is filed under the name uncultured bacterium. RNAcentral describes it as "partial 16S ribosomal RNA". It matches the Rfam family "Bacterial small subunit ribosomal RNA", at positions 30 to 507 of the family's 1533-position model. The record is from RNAcentral.